AGUCCCCGUACGUGCAGGUAAACAGCAUCGGGUGCUGCAGCGUCUCCUUCAUUCACAUCGCUCAUGACGUCCACCUUCAUUGUCCGGUUGUGGAAGCUCGCGUUGACCCAAACUGAUCAUUUGUGGGAUUUCUGGUCUCUUCUCGGCGAUCGCCACUGAGCUGAACACUGAAAUGUCAACUAACGGCACAAAAUCUGACCUGUUACUUUGUGUGCAGUGAUACGGAACGCUCGGGUCAAUGUGACCAGCAACUGUACAUUAUGGCUCAAUAAUGCACCGUGACUCACUCUCAACCAAUCAGAGCGCUGCAUUUCAUCUACCCGUAUUAUAAUAUGCUAUAAGCUGCUAGAGGUUUAGAGCUUAACAACAGGAAUCCAAAGGGAUGCAUUUUACUUCAGGAGAACCUGAACGUGUUUCUAUUUAGUCUCUAAAAAAUGUCUCGUCUUCUAUGAGGUCAAACACUACGUUGUGUUACCAGAACCUGCUGCAAACCCACAACUGGUUAAUUACUAUUUGUUCUGCCUGAGUCAAUUGAAGGUAUAAGGGCCCAUUAUAAAUGCCUCUCAUCCUCUCAUCAGUGUCACAGGGUGAGGUCAAGUUGGGUUUUUGUCGGCAUGUUUUGGUCUUGUCAUUUCCGUUUUAUUUUGAAAGUAGUAACCUUCCUCUCGUUUCAGGUCACUUGCCCUUCCUCAUGUCACCAGUCGAAUCGUCUCCCCUGAUUCCUGAUUGUGUCCACCUGUUUCCCAUUACCCUCAUGUGUCUUAUAGUCUGCGUCUCCCUUUGUCUUGUGCCUGAGUGUACCACCGUGCGAUCACCCAAGCCUCGCCACAGCCACAGGAUUUGUUAAUACCAUUGCCUUGUCUCGGAAUGAUUUCCCCUUUAUGUUUUUCCAGUGAGUAAGAGUGACCUUUGUUGGAGCUUCUUAGUUUUAGUUUUAGCGCGCUUUCGAAGCCGUUCGUUUUCCUCGUUUAAGAGAGAUUUUAGUUUGUUAACUUUCGUCGGAAACGCUGAUAGCUCAUAGCCGUUUGUUUGUUUUUUCACGACGCGAAUAAAGACGCCAAACCCUCUGCAUCUGAGUCCUCAUUUUUAUCUGGUCCUGACGGAACACUCAGGCCAGUAUGGACUCAGCAGAGGCAGAACAGAUGGCGGCAGCCCUGGGUGCCCAAGAUGCCCGUCUUUCCCUUCAGGAGGAAUUCCAGACGUCACUGGCUUCCCACAUAAGCCUACUCUCAUCCCAAAUUCAGGGUCUGCGUGACCUUUUCGUCCAGGACACCACAGCCCCCAGGGCCCCGACAGUAGAGGCUGCUCCUCCCCCGACAGCGGUUGUCCAUGGGUCUGGAGGAAGGUUAGCCCCCCCUGAGAAAUUUGCGGGGGAGCAGGGACUAUGCAAGACCUUUCUCAUUGACUGUUCUAUUCAUUUUGAACUGACUCCUCAUGCUUUCCCCACCGAAAGGUCCAAGGUAGCAUUCAUGAUGACCCACCUGACCGGCAGGGCCAAAGCAUGGGCCUCGGCAGAGUGGGCUCGUGACUCCCCACUCUGCUUUUCCCUCACCGACUUUAAAGCAGCCUUACAGAGGGUUUUUGACCCAGUGUAAUGCACCACACCACCACAGGACUUGAGGCGCUAUUAGACUCGGGGGCUGACGCGAGCUUGUUGGACUGGGGACUAGCGGAGAGACUCGGUAUCAAGUCCGAACUCUUGGUAAAGCCUAUCCAAGCCAAGGCCCUCAACGGAGCUGAACUGUUCACCAUCACCCACACCUCCGAACCUCUCGAAAUGCACAUAAAGAACCAUAAAGAGAUCAUUCGUUUUUAUUUAUUUCAAUCCCCUUCUCAGGCACUGGUCUUGGGACAGCCAUGGCUGUGUCGCCACAACCCCCAUGUGAACUGGAGAACGGGAGAAAUUAUAG
Molecule: long non-coding RNA, 1910 nt
Organism: Gasterosteus aculeatus aculeatus (three-spined stickleback)
Lineage: Eukaryota; Metazoa; Chordata; Actinopteri; Perciformes; Gasterosteidae
Source: Ensembl